AGCAAAGGAUACCAGAUUUUUGUUAAAAGAUCUAGAAGAAUGGAGAGCAGUCAAGAUAUAUCGAUCACAAAAUCGAUGUGCGCAUUCAAUAGCACAAUGGGCAUAUUCCAACAAUAAGUUUGGAAAAAUUCCUCUGAUAGAAAUACCGUCAUGUUUAUUAGCUUUUCAUAGUGGGAAGGACCCUCCCUUAGGUAUUAGAAGCAUGAUCCAUGAGAUGGUCUGUAAUAUAAUCUACUAUUGUACUAAUGUUUUUCUCUAAUGAAGUCACUUUAGAAAAAAAAAAAUAAGUCUAGAAAACAACUCUUAUAU
Juglans microcarpa x Juglans regia is the source of this 309-nucleotide long non-coding RNA. RefSeq lists it as uncharacterized. The transcript has 4 exons. The record is from RefSeq and is a predicted model, not a curated record. Lineage: Eukaryota; Viridiplantae; Streptophyta; Magnoliopsida; Fagales; Juglandaceae.